GAGCGGUGGGAGCAGCGCUCGUCCGCCGUUGGGGCCCCCAGCCCGCGCGCGUGAAGCAGCUAGCCGACCAAGCCCCGGAAGGCGAGUGCCGGAGGGGGCGGGACAGCUCCUCCGGGGCCAGCGGGCACCAGGCUUGGGGGCUGAGGCCCAGCGGCCCGAGACCAACUGGGCUGACCGAGGCCGCCUCCCCGCCAGCCCUGGGGUCCACUGCCCGGGGAGCAGCUCCCUUCCCAGGUCAGACUCGGGCUUCAUCCUCUCUUGCCGCGCGCCGAGCGGUUUUCAACUCUCACUGCUAGAAUUCCUCCAACCACCCAGGAUAGCAGGACCGAGAUACAUGGCCACCCAUGACCCGGAGCGUCCACUUCCAGGGACAGGCAGUGGUGAUUGGCUUCGGUUGUCAUCUGUGCCAUCUGUCCAUGGUUCGAGAAGCUGCUGUUCACGUUUUGGGGAGGAUCAUGGUUUGAGGGCUCCCGUGGUAGAAUUUGGGGAGCUCUCAUAGGCAGAAGGCUGAGAAAAGUUGGUGCUGUGGGAAGUCAACUGGCAGCCGAUGGAGUCGGGACCCGGGAGGAAUGGAAAGGGAACCCAGAUAGGAAGCUACUGCAGUAGGCUCAGAGAGGUGAUGACGGCAGGGCUAAGACAGCGGCCUUGGGCGGUGACUGGGAAGAACGUUGAACACCGUGUUUGGGCUGAAGAAAAGAGCAAGGGAAGAGUCCCAGCUGCUCUGGAGUUUGAGGCAGGAGGAUGGCUUGAACCCAAGAGGUGGAGGCUGAAGUGAGCCAAGAUCGCGCCACUGCACUCCAGCCUGGGCGACAGGGCAAAACCCUGUCUCUAAAAAGAACUUUUUAAAAAAGCACCUGUAGAUUUAAGCACAUAAUAACUACACUUUUGUCUGUUUUAUUAUGAUAUCAAAGUUAAAUUUAUGAUGAAUGACUAACUGGACAAAACUGAGAGCAACCACCACAGAGGUGAAUAUACUGAAUGUAUAACACUCUCUAAUAAUUUUAAGAACUCCGCUCUAAUGAGCAGAUAUCACAGAAAGAGACUUUUCAGAUGAAAUACCGAUGACCAGGAAAUCUGUGAGACCAUUUUAAAAAAUUCGAAGUCAUUGAAGAAAUGCAAAGCUUCCAGGCUCCACUUUUCACUGAUGAAAUUGGCAGAGUUUGGGACAAUGAGAUGUUGCUGUCCCGGGAGUGCGGAUGGGGCUGUGUCCUGUGAUGGCGGUGGGCACUGGCACUCUUGUCCAGAAAGACAUUCACCACUGUGGUUCAAGAAGCACCUCAAAGGUCUUCACCUUGGUCCCUUGUCCACCUCUGCCCGCGGUCUCUCCUCCUUUCAGCCUCCUCUUUCCCACACAGUCCCUCCCGCCCUGGCUUGGUCCCCUUUCUUCUGACUGGGUCAGGCAUGUGGGUGACUCUUUGACUUCCAAGGCUCUGUCUACUUGGCUUUUUUCUUUCACCUGUUCUGCAGAAUAACAGCCUGAUUCGUUCCUCUUUUUGGGUCCUUCACUUCCAUACCUGGGAUUCGGGGCGUGGCCCAGAAAGACCCUGCAGUCUUGCAGUGUGGGGCUGCCAGCAUUUCAUGGCCUCCAAGCUCAGCUGGGCUGAAUGAACGCUGCCAUCCAGCGCUUGGCUCAUUUUCUGUCCCAUUUUCCUGAGUGCUUUUGCCAGACUUACACUUUUCUGAAAGCUACUCCACCCUACCCCAGACACACCCUCUCUCCUCGGAUGACCUGCCUCCUAAUUUCCUGAGAAAACUGGACAUGGCCACCUUUCCCCAGUGUCUGAGGCCCAGGUUGACCCGUGGUCAUGGUCGCUGUCACCACCCACCUGCCUGUAUGACAGAGUGAGACCCUGUCUC
Molecule: long non-coding RNA, 1857 nt
Filed under: Homo sapiens (human)
Lineage: Eukaryota; Metazoa; Chordata; Mammalia; Primates; Hominidae
Description: non-protein coding LINC02175:19
Source: RNAcentral